GUGUUUUUGAGUUAAUUUUAAGUCCUCUAACUACAAAAUUAACUAUUUUAGAAGAGUUUCAAAAUUGUGAAUUUUUGCCAUAAAUUUGCCAAAUUUGCCACUUUUAAUAGUUUUUCAUUGGUUAUACCCCUAGUUUUUCUGAACUCUCCAUAUUUGAAUUACCUGUUUUCAAAAAAUGUUUAAAAAAAUAUUUUUUCCAAAUUGUUUUUUCAGUCAUCUAAUGACUGUACUUUUUUUUGGGCAAAAAAAAAUUUCUCUGAAAACGUCUGAAACUACUAUAUUCUAAAAAAUGGCAUCUUUUUUGGGUUCGGAGAUCUUUUUUAACCUUUAAAAUUCAUUGGCUAAUAAUCAAAUAAAAUAUAUUGUU
This is a long non-coding RNA of Caenorhabditis elegans, 367 nucleotides long. Ensembl annotates it as ncRNA. Its record names the gene linc-52. The record is from Ensembl. Lineage: Eukaryota; Metazoa; Nematoda; Chromadorea; Rhabditida; Rhabditidae.